GACAGCAGUCGCCGCGGUAAUACGGAGGGGGCUAGCGUUGUUCGGAAUUACUGGGCGUAAAGCGCACGUAGGCGGCUUGGUAAGUUAGAGGUGAAAGCCCGGAGCUCAACUCCGGAAUUGCCUUUAAGACUGCCGAGCUAGUAGGUGAGAGAGGUAAGUGGAAUUCCGAGUGUAGAGGUGAAAUUCGUAGAUAUUCGGAAGAACACCAGUGGCGAAGGCGGCUUACUGGCUCAUUCUAGACGCUGAGGUGCGAAAGCGUGGGGAGCAAACAGGAUUAGAUACCCCCGUAGUCCCUGUCUCUUAUAA
RNAcentral lists this ribosomal RNA (306 nucleotides) under uncultured bacterium. Its description in RNAcentral is "partial 16S ribosomal RNA". It matches the Rfam family "Bacterial small subunit ribosomal RNA", at positions 507 to 809 of the family's 1533-position model. The record is from RNAcentral.